UGAAGAUCAACGUACACACAAAUUUUGAGACAAAGUUAAUAGUUGGAAAGAGAAGAAUCAUUGCUGGGAUUUCUGCUUCACUUUUCAAGUUGGCAGCCGAGUGACAUUACUACAAUUUUUGGAGGUUUUUUCACAAUCUGUAAGUUGGAUUGGGCUAAAAAUUCUUGAGCAUAUAGAAGACUUAUAUUGACAAUUGCAUGCAAAAUUCCAAAUCAAGUAGAUAGUCAAAUUGGAUGUUAUAUCUUGUUAAAGCUCACUCAUUAGAAUAGGGACUUAGAAGAAAAAUUUAAAUUGCUUAAAUAUGAAAGUAACAAGGAAAUUGCGAUUCAUGUAUGAUUAAGACUACUAAGAAGAGUGUUUUUUGCACUUUUGGAUUGAAAUUCAGAUUAUACUCUACUUGCAUGGAUGAAAUCUAUUAAGAUUUCUAGGCUACUUGUGAAACAUAAUCUCACC
Molecule: long non-coding RNA, 453 nt
Filed under: Physcomitrium patens
Lineage: Eukaryota; Viridiplantae; Streptophyta; Bryopsida; Funariales; Funariaceae
Description: long non-coding RNA (PPAT_LNC002343)
Source: RNAcentral